UAGAUUUAAAUGUGUUAUAUAUAAAAGUUUUAGGGAAGUCGGUUUAAGUCCUUAAUAAUUAUGAAGCAUCUGCUAUAUUCAAGUGCAGAAACUAAGCUCUCUGAAGUGAAGAAAGAAAAUUAAGCAAUUAGCUCUGUAUCUAAGAAAAUAUCAGAGCAAAGGGGCAUUUGUCCUGUAGUAAGUGAAUAAAAUCUAAAGAGAAAUCUGGUAACUUCCAGAAGAGAAAGAUAAAGGAAACACCAGGAAGUUUUAAUAGAGGACAAAGAAGACAGGAAUCCAUCCAUCUAAGAAGACAGAUGAGGACAGAAAGGCCAGUGGCAGACAGCCUUGUGCAUAAACAUCAACCUCAUUGUGGAAGGGUGCAGAAGAGAGCCUGACAUUAAGCAUCUAGUCAGCAACAUUGUGUCCUAUAGGCCAGUUCUACCCACUCUGACUCAGCCUGAAAUGGUCCACCUUUAGGAUUAUCACCAAGCCUCCUUGAGGUUUGCAUCUAUUCUGAAGUUAAAGCACUUGCCAGUGAAUAAGCCAUUUAUUCCAUAUACUUAAAAGAUUGAAUUAUUGUGUUUUAGGGGGAAAAAGUGUAUGAUCAGAUGAGAAAUGUAAUUGUUUUCUAAAAUCAAUCCUAACAAAGACUAGCAUUUUGCAGGCAAUUCAAAAAUUGCUUUAAUAAGCGUCCUUGCCUCCUAUGCAAAGUUUUUCUUUUAUCUGAUGCAGGGAUGUUACCUAGACCAUCAGGGAGAUGUAUUUUGGCUGUGGACAUUCAUGCCUGACAGCCUGGCAGGCAGCAGUCGUCCUGUGUCUCCACCCUUAACCAUUCUGAAUUGUUCUUUCCUAGUCCUGGGUUCUUAGAAUAUGAGUGCUUCUCCUCGAACUUCCAAAAGUACAGUGGCUGAAGGGAAAGAGAAAUAGAAAGGGAAGGGGAGUCAUGGUUUUGGAGGGCAUGAUGCCAAAAGGGAAAAUUUAAACUUUAACUUAUUGACCAUAUUCAAGGCGAGUAAUAACCUUUUCUUAGAAACUUUUAAAGACCAUGACUUAGGGCUAUGGCAAAGUCAUGAUUUUAUUCCUGGCCCCGUGGUUCUUGUACUUUCAAAAGCCCUCAAUAAAAAGCCAUUGAAUAGGACAUGUAUUCCAUACACUUAAAAACUUGAAUGAUUGGGUGUGGGAGGAAAGUGUGCAUUAUCCAAUGCAGAUGUAAUUGCUUUCUA
RNAcentral lists this long non-coding RNA (1205 nucleotides) under Marmota monax (woodchuck). Lineage: Eukaryota; Metazoa; Chordata; Mammalia; Rodentia; Sciuridae. The record is from RNAcentral.